GCAGCAUUCAUGUCCC
This 16-nucleotide microRNA is filed under the name Homo sapiens (human). Its description in RNAcentral is "hsa-miR-4310". The record is from miRBase by way of RNAcentral. Lineage: Eukaryota; Metazoa; Chordata; Mammalia; Primates; Hominidae.